Long non-coding RNA from Aquila chrysaetos chrysaetos, 516 nucleotides. RefSeq lists it as uncharacterized. The transcript is spliced from 4 exons. The record is from RefSeq and is a predicted model, not a curated record. NCBI's taxonomy places the organism in Eukaryota, Metazoa, Chordata, Aves, Accipitriformes, Accipitridae.
UCAGAGCAGGUUGAUAAAAGGGGUAAAGAGCUAAAUUUUUUUAAUCUUUUUUCCUUUCAGUUCUUCCAAAAUUCAUUAGCCAAAUAGGUCCCUAGAGAGGAGGAGACGAGUGGGCAAAAACAUGAGGUUGACAGCUGCCAGCUGGGCAAUUGGCAUGUGGGUUGCUCCAGACUAGCCCCAUCCUGCGCUGCUCUGUGCCUGCUGGGGCUGUGAGCGGGGCGCAGUGGAAAGCUGGCAUCGGUGUAAGGGAAUAUGGCCAGAAACGUGUAAGACUAGGCUAGGUGAGCCGUGCAGAGCUGCUCCUUGGCUUUUGGCUGCAGCAGUAGCUGGGCUACUCUGGUUUCUGGCUGUUGGGAUUUUUAAGCAUUUUUAGCCCUUCCCCAUUGCUUGUUGUAGCAGUUGGUGUUUUAUGGUGUUUUGCUGUGUUUGCAUUGGCAGAUUUAGUUGUGCUCUUCCUUGAGUUUGCGUAGGAAUUGGGAUUUUGCUAUGAGUGAAACUUUGCUCUUAGUGUUUAUA